This 343-nucleotide unclassified non-coding RNA is filed under the name soil metagenome. RNAcentral's name for it is "partial contains 5.8S ribosomal RNA, internal transcribed spacer 2, and large subunit ribosomal RNA". The stretch from base 4 to 118 matches the Rfam family "5.8S ribosomal RNA", at positions 40 to 154 of the family's 154-position model. The record is from RNAcentral.
GAUGGAACGUAGCGAAAUGCGAUACGUAAUGUGAAUUGCAGAAUUCAGUGAAUCAUCGAGUCUUUGAACGCACAUUGCGCCCCCUGGUAUUCCGGGGGGCAUGCCUGUCCGAGCGUCAUUGCUGCCCUCAAGCACGGCUUGUGUGUUGGGCCUCCGUCCUCCUCCCGGGGGACGGGCCCGAAAGGCAGCGGCGGCACCGCGUCCGGUCCUCGAGCGUAUGGGGCUUCGUCACCCGCUCUUGUAGGCCCGGCCGGCGCUUGCCGACACAUCAAUCUUUUUUCCAGGUUGACCUCGGAUCAGGUAGGGAUACCCGCUGAACUUAAGCAUAUCAAUAAGCGGAGGA